This 305-nucleotide long non-coding RNA is filed under the name Homo sapiens (human). Its description in RNAcentral is "non-protein coding lnc-TTK-2:1". The record is from RNAcentral. Lineage: Eukaryota; Metazoa; Chordata; Mammalia; Primates; Hominidae.
GGAAGGCUGUUUUCCAACGCCACUUUUGAUGGCUGUAAGUGGGAUCUCUGGAACCAAAGGGAGCACAUGGCUCUUCUUAAAACUGAAGGUAUUUGUGUCCAAGAUGAAACUGAAUUCUGUUUGGCCAAGAGAUGUGCUUCUGUGUACGAAGGAAAGAACACAGUGGCUUCUGCCAGCAAACCAAACAAAACCAGAGUAAUCUGGAAAAGGUAACUUGUGCCCAUGAAAAAAGUGACAUCGUUCAUAAUAAAUUCCAAAACAACUUUCCUGCUAAGGCCAUUGAACACAAAAUCAAUGUGAUACUU